This 390-nucleotide ribosomal RNA is filed under the name uncultured bacterium. RNAcentral's name for it is "bacterial SSU rRNA". It matches the Rfam family "Bacterial small subunit ribosomal RNA", at positions 28 to 417 of the family's 1533-position model. The record is from RNAcentral.
GACGAACGCUGGCGGCGUGCUUAACACAUGCAAGUCGAACGGUGAUCCGGGUACUUGUAUCUGGUGAUCAGUGGCGAACGGGUGAGUAACACGUGAGUAACCUGCCCUUCACUCUGGGAUAACUCCGGGAAACCGGGGCUAAUACCGGAUAUGACACCAAUCCGCAUGGGUAUGGUGUGGAAAGUUUUUCGGUGGAGGAUGGACUCGCGGCCUAUCAGCUUGUUGGUGAGGUAAGGCUCACCAAGGCGACGACGGGUAGCCGGCCUGAGAGGGCGACCGGCCACACUGGGACUGAGACACGGCCCAGACUCCUACGGGAGGCAGCAGUGGGGAAUAUUGCACAAUGGGCGAAAGCCUGAUGCAGCGACGCCGCGUGAGGGAUUAAGGCCU